UAAGGACAGAUUAAGGCUUUGUCUCU
Molecule: non-coding RNA, 26 nt
Filed under: Rattus norvegicus (Norway rat)
Lineage: Eukaryota; Metazoa; Chordata; Mammalia; Rodentia; Muridae
Source: RNAcentral